CCGAGCGAGGGCGCCCCGCGCCCGACCUCCCAACCCUCUGUUAACCGUACCGCGUUGCCUCGGGGUGGCCCUCACCGGCGCCCCAGAGGACGUCCAUCAAAACCCUGCGUCUUUGCGUCGGAGUAUUAGUUUGAAUCAAUCA
This 142-nucleotide unclassified non-coding RNA is filed under the name uncultured Capnobotryella. Its description in RNAcentral is "sequence contains ITS1". Lineage: Eukaryota; Fungi; Ascomycota. The record is from RNAcentral.